Molecule: ribosomal RNA, 109 nt
Filed under: Neogale vison (American mink)
Lineage: Eukaryota; Metazoa; Chordata; Mammalia; Carnivora; Mustelidae
Source: RNAcentral
GUCUAUGGCCAUACCACCCUGAACACGCCCGAUCUCGUCUGAUCUCGGAAGCUAAGCAGCGUCGGGCCUGGUUAGUACUUGGAUGGGAGGAUUCUUGUCUCUAAGGACC